CCGCCCCCUCACCGGGACAGGCUGUCUGUCAGCCCCCGCCCCCUCGCCCCCCCUUGGCACCUGCCUGGGAGGCUCCGGCCGGGCUCCGAGCGGCGGCGACUUGGCCUCCUCCUCCUCCUCUUCCUCCUGUUCGCUCGCCUCCCUUGCUGGCUCCGGCGGCGCUAGAGACGGGCACCGGGAGCCGGGGUGACGGGGGAGGGAGGGGGAACUUGGAAGAUGGGUGAGGGGGAGGGGGCGGCUUGGGGGAGGGGUAAGCGCGAGGCGGGCGUACUUGCCCGCUGGGUCCUAGAGCCCGCCUCUGACUAGAGCGAACAGCCCCCCAGCCCCCAUUUUCUCAGGAUCCAAAGAGGAUCCCCCACAUUCCCACUCAUCCGCGCCACUGAUCCCUGAGGAUGUAGGGAAGGGUCCGGGACAUGGCCUGGUCUCAAGAGUUCUAAAGCGGUGAGGGUCUUCUCUUUGGGUUCGAAGUGGGAGGGGCUGACUACCUGGUAGGGUUGAAAAGGGGUGGGGCGAGAAGGGAGCCUUCGCAAGGGGGCGGGGCCGGAGGGCGUUGGGAAGGAGAGUCGGUGAGGACGCGGAGGGCACGGACAAGCGCUUGCGUCAUGGAAGGGGCGGGCCCACGGUGGUUGGGCCUUCUAGGCAGGCCCGAGGAAGGAGAGGGUCUUGGGAAGAGAUGCAGUGGGGGUCCUAAAAGGGUGGAGUUUAAAAGAAAAUUGCCUUAUGGGCACGAGAGACCCCUAAAGGGAGGAGUGUGUAGCGGUGUCUGUAAUAGGCGGAGCUUCGAGGGAGGGACUAAGAAGAGGGGCGGAGCAUUUAUAAAGGGGAGGGGCUAAGGACAGCGUUCUAAAGGGGUGGGGCCUAGGGCAACACGGCCUAGGGGUGGGGAGGAAGACAGCGGAAUAUUUCAAAGCAAGAUCCAGGUUCGUCAGGGACCGGCCUCUUGCCGGCUCGCAGGAGGGCGGGGCCUCGAGCUUGGGGGCGGGGCCUACACCUCGGGGUCCGCCCUCGCUGUCUAGCCUCUUGCCGUCAUCCGCCUCACCCCCGUUCUUUUCGGUUAUUUUCUGCUACGACCGUUCCCCGCCCUGCCCUGGGCCCAGGGGGCCGCGGUCUGAACUUUGGUCGGCUGGAGAAGUCGGAGCCGGAAAAGUUUAGGAGUGAGGCCCGAAGAUCUGCCGCUGCCUGGGAAGAGGGCGAGACUCAAAUGAUCGACACAGAGAGAGGGAUCGGAGGGUUAUUGGUGAGGACUGAAGGGUUAACAAUACAAGAAUACCGCGGAGGCAAGGCCGACCGGGACGAGGAGAAUGAGGCCCGAUACACAAUCGGGGGCGGGACCAGAGAGCAGGGUCGGGGCCUGGGCCGCGAGAGAUGUUUGAACUUACUGGCUUUGUAGGCUACUGAGCACUAUCAUCCCC
RNAcentral lists this long non-coding RNA (1412 nucleotides) under Suricata suricatta (meerkat). RNAcentral's name for it is "lncRNA (ENSSSUG00005020688.1)". Lineage: Eukaryota; Metazoa; Chordata; Mammalia; Carnivora; Herpestidae. The record is from RNAcentral.